This 336-nucleotide ribosomal RNA is filed under the name uncultured bacterium. RNAcentral describes it as "partial 16S ribosomal RNA". It matches the Rfam family "Bacterial small subunit ribosomal RNA", at positions 338 to 666 of the family's 1533-position model. The record is from RNAcentral.
CCUACGGGUGGCAGCAGUGGGGAAUAUUGCGCAAUGGGCGAAAGCCUUACGCAGCGACGCCGCGUGCGGGAUGAAGGUCUUCGGAUCGUAAACCUCUGUCAGCAUGGAAGAACGGUCCCUGUGCUAAUCAUCAGUGAAUUGACGGUACCUGCAAAGGAAGCACCGUCUAACUCCGUGCCAGCAGCCGCGGUAAUACGGAGGGUGCGAGCGUUAAUCGGAAUUACUGGGCGUAAAGCGCUCGUAGGCGGUAUGUCAAGUCAAGGGGGAAAUCCCCGCGCUCAACGUGGGAACUGCCUUUGAAACUGGAAAACUGGAGUGGGUGAGAGGAUAGGGGAA